ACGUUGCAGUUAUAACAUCACGAUGAAGUGACUUAAAUUAUCAACUACUCCACCCAAUAUUAUGUUUAACUAUUCUACGAAACUAUGGCAUUUAACAUGCAACAAUUGCGACGGUAACGAGCAAGUCACGAUCAAUUAUUAUAUAUGCGAUCAUGAUUAUAAAACUAUCGCUGUCUCAUUACAUUGGAUUUUAUAACAGAUCGAUAUAAUGUGUGCAUAAAAUACAAUUAUAGUAAUCCGCAUUUAGAUUCCGAACGGACCAGAGAAGCUGUUACAGUAUUCCCAUAUGCUUGUGUUUCCUAGGGAACACUUUUCCGCUUAGUUAAAAUUUGUUUACGCAUCAACUCGAAAUAUGGAGAUUGCAGGCCGAUGGUAUUUUAUUUAAACCGUUCCACGAGAUGUUCACCCCUAGGUUCUAUUGUUUUAGUUUUUAGUUUUUUUCUCAGAAAUCCAUUUUCAGAUUAUAAUAAAGGUCCAAAUUAUUCGCUCUGUACUUUAAACGAUGUGGUAAUCAUUAAUUGAAAAAAAUCUGUUUUAUUUUUUAUUUAUUCCCGAGUUACCGCUAACAAUAUUUACUUCACUCAGAAUCAUUCGUUCCUUUACAGUGAUUUAUUCUUUUAAACAUUACAUAAACUCAAUGACCAUGUAUAUCCUACCUUCUCAAUAAUUAUGUUCACCAACCGUGACCUGCCGACCACCGUGAAUCGUAUCAUCUUUUAUUCGAUUUGUAUUAAAAACUCUAAUAAUUAAUCUCCGUAUUAUUGCA
Non-coding RNA from Cinara cedri, 766 nucleotides. NCBI's taxonomy places the organism in Eukaryota, Metazoa, Arthropoda, Insecta, Hemiptera, Aphididae. The record is from the annotation of a GenBank genome assembly.